GAUGAACGCUGGCGGCGUGCCUAAUACAUGCAAGUCGAGCGAACAGACGAGGAGCUUGCUCCUCUGACGUUAGCGGCGGACGGGUGAGUAACACGUGGAUAACCUACCUAUAAGACUGGGAUAACUUCGGGAAACCGGAGCUAAUACCGGAUAAUAUAUUGAACCGCAUGGUUCAAUAGUGAAAGACGGUUUUGCUGUCACUUAUAGCUGGAUCCGCGCCGCAUUAGCUAGUUGGUAAGGUAACGGCUUAGCAAGGCAACGAUGCGUAGCCGACCUGAGAGGGAGGUCGGCCACACUGGAACUGAGACACGUUCCAGACUCCUGCGGGGAGCAGCAGUAGGGAAUCGUACGCAAUGGGCGAGAGGCUGACGGAGCAACGCCGCGUGAGUGAUGAAGGUCUUCGGAUCGUAAAGCUCUGUUGUUAGGGGAGAACAAAUGUGUAAGUAACUAUGCACGUCUUGACGGUACCUAAGCAAAAAGCCACGGCUAACUACGUG
This 497-nucleotide ribosomal RNA is filed under the name uncultured bacterium. RNAcentral's name for it is "partial 16S ribosomal RNA". It matches the Rfam family "Bacterial small subunit ribosomal RNA", at positions 28 to 507 of the family's 1533-position model. The record is from RNAcentral.